This 424-nucleotide ribosomal RNA is filed under the name Vreelandella subglaciescola. RNAcentral describes it as "bacterial LSU rRNA". It matches the Rfam family "Bacterial large subunit ribosomal RNA", at positions 1 to 474 of the family's 2925-position model. The record is from RNAcentral. Lineage: Bacteria; Pseudomonadati; Pseudomonadota; Gammaproteobacteria; Oceanospirillales; Halomonadaceae.
GGUCAAGCAAUGAAGCGCACACGGUGGAUGCCUAGGCAGCCAGAGGCGAUGAAAGACGUUGUAGCCUGCGAUAAGCGUCGGUGAGGUGGCAAACAACCUGCGACCCGGCGAUCUCUGAAUGGGGAAACCCACUCACCAUAAGGUGAGUAUCGCAUCCUGAAUACAUAGGGAUGCGAGGCGAACCGGGGGAACUGAAACAUCUCAGUACCCCGAGGAAAAGAAAUCAACCGAGAUUCCCCCAGUAGCGGCGAGCGACCGGGGACCAGCCCUUAAGCGUGUGACUGAUUAGACAAAGGCAUUGGGAAAUGCCGCCAUAGUGGGUGAUAGCCCCGUAGUCGAAAAUCUGAUCGCGUGAAAUCGAGUAGGUCGGGGCACGAGAAACCUUGACUGAAGACGGGGGGACCAUCCUCCAAGGCUAAAUACU